GCGCCCGUGGUGAAAUUGGUAUACACGAUGGAUUUAGGUUCCAUUCCGGCAACGGGUAGGGGUUCAAAUCCCCUCGGGCGUACCA
This 85-nucleotide transfer RNA is filed under the name Lawsonibacter sp. Its description in RNAcentral is "tRNA-Leu". It matches the Rfam family "tRNA". Rfam says of the family: Transfer RNA (tRNA) molecules are approximately 80 nucleotides in length. Their secondary structure includes four short double-helical elements and three loops (D, anti-codon, and T loops). Further hydrogen bonds mediate the characteristic L-shaped molecular structure. tRNAs have two regions of fundamental functional importance: the anti-codon, which is responsible for specific mRNA codon recognition, and the 3' end, to which the tRNAs corresponding amino acid is attached (by aminoacyl-tRNA synthetases). tRNAs cope with the degeneracy of the genetic code in two manners: having more than one tRNA (with a specific anti-codon) for a particular amino acid; and 'wobble' base-pairing, i.e. permitting non-standard base-pairing at the 3rd anti-codon position. Lineage: Bacteria; Bacillati; Bacillota; Clostridia; Eubacteriales; Oscillospiraceae. The record is from RNAcentral.